This is a non-coding RNA of Arachis ipaensis, 467 nucleotides long. The record is from RefSeq and is a predicted model, not a curated record. Lineage: Eukaryota; Viridiplantae; Streptophyta; Magnoliopsida; Fabales; Fabaceae.
UCGCGCCUCUACACUCAUCCCUCUAAAUGCUCCAUCGGCGGCGCUAUCAGCCUUGCACCGCUGUCACACCGAACCUCCAUUGCACUGAACUUCCAUCGUACUGAGGCUCUGUUGUACCCCUUCCUGGUUCUUUUCCGUCACACCCCUUUCGUCGGCCUUGUUCGCGUCACUCCCUUUCGAACCCUAGUGUGCGUUUCUCUCUUCGAUCUCGCCACUAGUGCUUGCUCUUCUCCGUGUGUUGCUGCGUUUCUCUCUUCAAUCUUGCCUCAGCUGUGCAUAUUGAUUGGCUGAACAAGUUUCUUGAAUAGCCUUACCUUGAUAAGGACAAGAUGGAAAGCAGAGGGAGCAAAGCAAUGCCUGCACAGAAAAAUGGGCGUCGAUCGAAUCGAGAAAGGAAAAUGGCUUUGAUACAACAUGUUGAUAAGUUGAAGAGAAAGUUGAGACAUGAAGAGAAUGUGCAUAGUAUA